GUCGCGAGGCGGACGGAGGGAUGGAUGAGGUUACCUGGAAAAAUCGGGGCGAUCUAGGCGGGCGAACCUCGCCAACGAACGAUCGGACAUGGGAUAACGGAAGAGGGCGUCGGCUCGACUUCGUCGGUUCCUCGGGCCGAGGCACGUACGGUGAAUAGGGACGGUCGGGGCCGCCCGUACCGGGUCGUGAGAGGUGAAAUUCUAGGAUCGACCCGAGACGAACCGCCGCGAAAGCAUUCGGCAAGGACGCUUUCAUUAAUCAAGAACGAAAAGUCGGGGGAUCGAAGACGAUCAGAUACCGUCGUAGUCCCGACCGUAAACGAUGCCGACCGAGGGCCCGGAGGAGUUACGUACGACCCUCCGGGCCCUCCCGCGAGAAAUCAGGAGUAUUCGGGUUCCGGGGGAGUAUGGUCGCAAGGCCGAAACUUAAAGGAAUUGACGGAAGGG
This 447-nucleotide ribosomal RNA is filed under the name uncultured eukaryote. Its description in RNAcentral is "bacterial SSU rRNA". It matches the Rfam family "Eukaryotic small subunit ribosomal RNA", at positions 722 to 1164 of the family's 1831-position model. The record is from RNAcentral.